RNAcentral lists this ribosomal RNA (467 nucleotides) under uncultured bacterium. RNAcentral describes it as "partial 16S ribosomal RNA". It matches the Rfam family "Bacterial small subunit ribosomal RNA", at positions 28 to 506 of the family's 1533-position model. The record is from RNAcentral.
GACGAACGCUGGCGGCGUGCUUAACACAUGCAAGUCGAACGGAAAGGCCCUGCUUUUGUGGGGUGCUCGAGUGGCGAACGGGUGAGUAACACGUGAGUAACCUGCCCUUGACUUUGGGAUAACUUCAGGAAACUGGGGCUAAUACCGGAUAGGAGCUCCUGCUGCAUGGUGGGGGUUGGAAAGUUUCGGCGGUUGGGGAUGGACUCGCGGCUUAUCAGCUUGUUGGUGGGGUAGUGGCUUACCAAGGCUUUGACGGGUAGCCGGACUGAGAGGGUGACCGGCAACAUGGGGACUGAGAUACGGCCCAGACUCAAACGGGAGGAAGCAGUGGGGAAUAUUGCACAAUGGGCGGAAGCAUGAUGCAGCAAAGCCGCGUGCGGGAUGACGGCCUUCGGGUUGGAAACCGAUUUCGCCUGUGACGAAGCGUGAGUGACGGUAAUGGGUAAAGAAGCACCGGCUAACUACGU